This 78-nucleotide transfer RNA is filed under the name Deltaproteobacteria bacterium. RNAcentral describes it as "tRNA-Trp". Lineage: Bacteria; Pseudomonadati; Myxococcota; Myxococcia. The record is from RNAcentral.
GGGCCCCCAUGUUCCAAGGCAAGGCGAUUUGGACUCCAAAUCCGACUGUGCGAGGUUCGAUACCUCGGGGGUUCGCCA